UUUAGACUUGGGCGAAGCCUGACCGCAAUGCCGCGUGCAGGAAGAAGGCCUUCGGGUUGUAAACUGCUUUUGUACGGAACGAAACGGCCUUUUCUAAUAAAGAGGGCUAAUGACGGUACCGUAAGAAUAAGCACCGGCUAACUACGUGCCAGCAGCCGCGGUAAUACGUAGGGUGCGAGCGUUAAUCGGAAUUACUGGGCGUAAAGCGUGCGCAGGCGGUUCUAUAAGACAGAUGUGAAAUCCCCGGGCUCAACCUGGGAAUGGCAUUUGUGACUGUAGAGCUAGAGUACGGUAGAGGGGGAUGGAAUUCCGCGUGUAGCAGUGAAGUGGGUAGAUAUGCGGAGGAACACCGAUGGCGAAGGCAAUCCCCUGGACCUGUACUGACGCUCAUGCACGAAAG
Molecule: ribosomal RNA, 400 nt
Filed under: uncultured bacterium
Lineage: Bacteria
Description: bacterial SSU rRNA
Rfam family: Bacterial small subunit ribosomal RNA
Source: RNAcentral